This 253-nucleotide ribosomal RNA is filed under the name uncultured prokaryote. RNAcentral's name for it is "partial 16S ribosomal RNA". It matches the Rfam family "Bacterial small subunit ribosomal RNA", at positions 524 to 776 of the family's 1533-position model. The record is from RNAcentral.
UACGGAGGGUGCAAGCGUUAUCCGGAUUUACUGGGUUUAAAGGGUGUGUAGGCGGACUUUUAAGUCAGCGGUGAAAUCUCCGGGCUCAACCCGGAAACUGCCAUUGAUACUAUUAGUCUUGAAUAUUGUUGAGGUGGGCGGAACGGGUCAUGUAGCGGUGAAAUGCAUAGAUAUGACCCGGAACACCCAUGGCGAAGGCAGCUCGCUGGCCUGCAACUGACGCUGAGGCGCGAAAGCGUGGGGAGCAAACAGG